RNAcentral lists this ribosomal RNA (661 nucleotides) under uncultured bacterium. Its description in RNAcentral is "bacterial SSU rRNA". It matches the Rfam family "Bacterial small subunit ribosomal RNA", at positions 94 to 788 of the family's 1533-position model. The record is from RNAcentral.
AGUGGCGGACGGGUGAGUAACGCGUGAGAAUCUGCCUUCAGGUCGGGGACAACAGAGGGAAACUUCUGCUAAUCCCGGAUGAGCCUUAGGGUAAAAAAAUUUAUUGCCUGGAGAUGAGCUCGCGUCUGAUUAGCUAGUUGGUAAGGUAAAAGCUUACCAAGGCAACGAUCAGUAGCUGGUCUGAGAGGAUGAGCAGCCACACUGGGACUGAGACACGGCCCAGACUCCUACGGGAGGCAGCAGUGGGGAAUUUUCCGCAAUGGGCGAAAGCCUGACGGAGCAAGACCGCGUGGGGGAGGAAGGCUCUAGGGUUGUAAACCCCUUUUCUUUGGGAAGAACAAAAUGACGGUACCAAAGGAAUCAGCCUCGGCUAACUCCGUGCCAGCAGCCGCGGUAAUACGGAGGAGGCAAGCGUUAUCCGGAAUGAUUGGGCGUAAAGCGUCCGCAGGUGGCAAUGUAAGUCUGCUGUCAAAACCCAGGGCUCAACUCUGGUCAGGCAGUGGAACUACAUAGCUAGAGUUCGGUAGGGGCAAAGGGAAUUCCCGGUGUAGCGGUGAAAUGCGUAGAGAUCGGGAAGAACAUCGGUGGCGAAAGCGCUUUGCUAGACCGAAACUGACACUCAGGGACGAAAGCUAGGGGAGCGAAUGGGAUUAGAUACCCC